Molecule: long non-coding RNA, 184 nt
Organism: Gopherus evgoodei (Goodes thornscrub tortoise)
Lineage: Eukaryota; Metazoa; Chordata; Testudines; Testudinidae
Exons: 3
Source: RefSeq, a predicted model, not a curated record
AAGCACCUCAGUGAGCUGGUGAUGGUAUGAUGGAUGGUGGAUGUUCAGGGUCAGCAGAUGUCCCUCGCCCUCCUCCUCACUCUCCAAGCCCAAGGCAGGCUGGAGAGGGUGGUGACCUGAGGAAUUACCCUGCCCAGCCAGCAGGCAGGGUGAUGACUCUAGGGCGAUCGACUGGCUAUGAAAA